RNAcentral lists this ribosomal RNA (458 nucleotides) under uncultured bacterium. Its description in RNAcentral is "bacterial SSU rRNA". It matches the Rfam family "Bacterial small subunit ribosomal RNA", at positions 335 to 783 of the family's 1533-position model. The record is from RNAcentral.
ACUCCUACGGGAGGCAGCAGUGGGGAAUAUUGCACAAUGGGCGCAAGCCUGAUGCAGCCAUGCCGCGUGUAUGAAAGAAGGCCUUCGGGUUGUAAAGUACUUUCAGCAGUGAGGAAGGCGGGUACGUUAAUAGCGUGCUUGUUUGACGUUAGCUGCAGAAGAAGCACCGGCUAACUCCGUGCCAGCAGCCGCGGUAAUACGGAGGGUGCGAGCGUUAAUCGGAAUUACUGGGCGUAAAGCGCAUGCAGGUGGUUUGUUAAGUCAGAUGUGAAAGCCCGGGGCUCAACCUCGGAAUUGCAUUUGAAACUGGACAGACUAGAGUACUGUAGAGGGGGGUAGAAUUUCAGGUGUAGCGGUGAAAUGCGUAGAGAUCUGAAGGAAUACCGGUGGCGAAGGCGGCCCCCUGGACAGAUACUGACACUCAGAUGCGAAAGCGUGGGGAGCAAACAGGAUUAGAU